CGUCAGCUCCUGCUCGAUUUUCUUCUCCAGGAACUCCUGUUUCUUGCUUAACAUCUCUUCCGUGUCCCGCAGCCGCUGGAUGGCCUCCUGGGGGGUCGGGCCGCCCUUGCCGGCCUUACCCCCUCCAGCCCCGAACAGCUUCCCGAACACCGACAUGGUUGCUGCUCGCCGCGCCGGCCUUCGCCGCCCGCUCCGGCUCGGCUCGGCUCGGCUCGGCUCGGGUCGGCUCCGGCGCCCGCUCCCAGUCCCGCCGCUCCCUGCCGCCGCAGGCCUCUCCUCCGCCUCCGCCUCCGCCCCGCAGCUGGGCCCGGCCGCGCCACCUCCCACAGGCCCCCACGCCCGGCCCGGCAGGCGUCAGGGCAACGCGCCACUGACUACAACUCCCAGUGGGCAACGCGCCGGCCGCGCCUCAAAUCUAAUAGGGGGAAGCGUGCUGCAUGCCGGGAAGCUAUAGUCUUCCGGCUUCAGGCGCUCCCCGGCGCGUCUUUUGCUGUAGCUGGGGUCAAAGGGCGUGUGGCAUUCUGGGAAAUGUAGUCUCCUUGGCCUGCGCUCUGUAGGAGUGGCAGAACAGUAAGAGAAAUGACAAAGCAAGAGGAACCUAAUACUCUUCCUCAUUGGCCUUCCUGUCUCCAUCUUUAUUCCUUCCAGCUCAUUCUCUACAUGACACUGUGAAUGCCAAACUGUCUGGAGGCUGCCAUGAGCGGCCAAUUUGUGAUCUCUGCUUUACCUGAAUUAUUUCCGUGAAUUGUGACAUCAACCUCGCCAGAUAAGAAAGAAGACUGAAGUUCAGAGAGGUGAAGGGACUGGCUCAGGGGCUACCCCUAUGGUUGCGGGAGCUAAGAUUCCAGCCCAGCAGCGUGAUCCAGAGCCCAUCUGAGCUACCCAGAUCUUCCUGCUGUUAAACCCGUCCUGGGGCAGCUCUUGCCUGAUGGGCUACCUGAGGAACCCACAGGAAAUCAAGGGAGGUGCCUGCAAAGUUGCCGUGGGGUCACAGCCUGCCCUUUGGAAGGGGCUGUUUCUGGGCUGCUGUGACUUCCUGCCAUUAUUUCCUCUCUGUUCUCCCUCUGGAAUGAAUAAAGUACUUCUGAAAAACCAUCAACCCAGUCGAUACGGAAAUGCUGGUCCCUACAAUAGAAUGCUCUGUGGUCAUUAAAAAGAUUAAAAAGGUCAAUCUGUGUUUCCUGAUCUGGAAAGAUCUCCUGGACAUACUGCUAGUGGGGAAAGAAAGCAGUAGAACAGCUUAACACAAUCUCGUCUUUCUUAGAAAAAAAUAUAAUCCCUACUGGAUAUGUAAGCUCCAACAAAAAAAAAAGAAAGAAAAAAUACAACCUGCACACCCCAAAAAAGCCCUGGCCAUGUGUCUCUGUAAAUAAACUGAAGAUGCAGGAAGAAAGAUGGGGAGGUGUAGGGAAAGGACAGACCAAAGUGUCAGUGGCAACUACAACUUGAAGGGGAAAUUUAACAUUUUACUUUAUGUACUCCUAUAUUGUUUCCAUUUUUAUAAUAACCAUGUAUUAUUUGUGUGGUUUUUUUUGUUUUGUUUUGUUUCGUUUUUUGUAUUUUUUUUUUUUUUUUUGAAACAGAGUCUUGCUCUGUUGCCCAGGCUGGAGUGCAGUGGUUUGAUCUUGGCUCACUGCAACCUCCAUCUCCUGGGUUCAGGCAAUUCUCCU
RNAcentral lists this long non-coding RNA (1670 nucleotides) under Homo sapiens (human). Its description in RNAcentral is "non-protein coding ZNF341-AS1:10". Lineage: Eukaryota; Metazoa; Chordata; Mammalia; Primates; Hominidae. The record is from RNAcentral.